Molecule: antisense RNA, 2632 nt
Filed under: Mus musculus (house mouse)
Lineage: Eukaryota; Metazoa; Chordata; Mammalia; Rodentia; Muridae
Rfam family: Bacterial large subunit ribosomal RNA (bases 1-960)
Source: RNAcentral
UAGGCCUAAAAGCAGCCACCAAUAAAGAAAGCGUUCAAGCUCAACAUAAAAUUUCAAUUAAUUCCAUAAUUUACACCAACUUCCUAAACUUAAAAUUGGGUUAAUCUAUAACUUUAUAGAUGCAACACUGUUAGUAUGAGUAACAAGAAUUCCAAUUCUCCAGGCAUACGCGUAUAACAACUCGGAUAACCAUUGUUAGUUAAUCAGACUAUAGGCAAUAAUCACACUAUAAAUAAUCCACCUAUAACUUCUCUGUUAACCCAACACCGGAAUGCCUAAAGGAAAGAUCCAAAAAGAUAAAAGGAACUCGGCAAACAAGAACCCCGCCUGUUUACCAAAAACAUCACCUCUAGCAUUACAAGUAUUAGAGGCACUGCCUGCCCAGUGACUAAAGUUUAACGGCCGCGGUAUCCUGACCGUGCAAAGGUAGCAUAAUCACUUGUUCCUUAAUUAGGGACUAGCAUGAACGGCUAAACGAGGGUCCAACUGUCUCUUAUCUUUAAUCAGUGAAAUUGACCUUUCAGUGAAGAGGCUGAAAUAUAAUAAUAAGACGAGAAGACCCUAUGGAGCUUAAAUUAUAUAACUUAUCUAUUUAAUUUAUUAAACCUAAUGGCCCAAAAACUAUAGUAUAAGUUUGAAAUUUCGGUUGGGGUGACCUCGGAGAAUAAAAAAUCCUCCGAAUGAUUAUAACCUAGACUUACAAGUCAAAGUAAAAUCAACAUAUCUUAUUGACCCAGAUAUAUUUUGAUCAACGGACCAAGUUACCCUAGGGAUAACAGCGCAAUCCUAUUUAAGAGUUCAUAUCGACAAUUAGGGUUUACGACCUCGAUGUUGGAUCAGGACAUCCCAAUGGUGUAGAAGCUAUUAAUGGUUCGUUUGUUCAACGAUUAAAGUCCUACGUGAUCUGAGUUCAGACCGGAGCAAUCCAGGUCGGUUUCUAUCUAUUUACGAUUUCUCCCAGUACGAAAGGACAAGAGAAAUAGAGCCACCUUACAAAUAAGCGCUCUCAACUUAAUUUAUGAAUAAAAUCUAAAUAAAAUAUAUACGUACAACCUUCUCUAGGUUAGAGGGUGUACGUAUAUAUUUUAUUUAGAUUUUAUUCAUAAAUUAAGUUGAGAGCGCUUAUUUGUAAGGUGGCUCUAUUUCUCUUGUCCUUUCGUACUGGGAGAAAUCGUAAAUAGAUAGAAACCGACCUGGAUUGCUCCGGUCUGAACUCAGAUCACGUAGGACUUUAAUCGUUGAACAAACGAACCAUUAAUAGCUUCUACACCAUUGGGAUGUCCUGAUCCAACAUCGAGGUCGUAAACCCUAAUUGUCGAUAUGAACUCUUAAAUAGGAUUGCGCUGUUAUCCCUAGGGUAACUUGGUCCGUUGAUCAAAAUAUAUCUGGGUCAAUAAGAUAUGUUGAUUUUACUUUGACUUGUAAGUCUAGGUUAUAAUCAUUCGGAGGAUUUUUUAUUCUCCGAGGUCACCCCAACCGAAAUUUCAAACUUAUACUAUAGUUUUUGGGCCAUUAGGUUUAAUAAAUUAAAUAGAUAAGUUAUAUAAUUUAAGCUCCAUAGGGUCUUCUCGUCUUAUUAUUAUAUUUCAGCCUCUUCACUGAAAGGUCAAUUUCACUGAUUAAAGAUAAGAGACAGUUGGACCCUCGUUUAGCCGUUCAUGCUAGUCCCUAAUUAAGGAACAAGUGAUUAUGCUACCUUUGCACGGUCAGGAUACCGCGGCCGUUAAACUUUAGUCACUGGGCAGGCAGUGCCUCUAAUACUUGUAAUGCUAGAGGUGAUGUUUUUGGUAAACAGGCGGGGUUCUUGUUUGCCGAGUUCCUUUUAUCUUUUUGGAUCUUUCCUUUAGGCAUUCCGGUGUUGGGUUAACAGAGAAGUUAUAGGUGGAUUAUUUAUAGUGUGAUUAUUGCCUAUAGUCUGAUUAACUAACAAUGGUUAUCCGAGUUGUUAUACGCGUAUGCCUGGAGAAUUGGAAUUCUUGUUACUCAUACUAACAGUGUUGCAUCUAUAAAGUUAUAGAUUAACCCAAUUUUAAGUUUAGGAAGUUGGUGUAAAUUAUGGAAUUAAUUGAAAUUUUAUGUUGAGCUUGAACGCUUUCUUUAUUGGUGGCUGCUUUUAGGCCUACAAUGGUUAAAAGCUGUUUUGUUAAUUAUUCACUAUUAAAGGUUUUUUCCGUUCCAGAAGAGCUGUCCCUCUUUUGGCUAUAAUCUAAACUUACUUUUUGAUUUUGUUGUUUUUUUAGCAAGUUUAAAAUUGAACUUAAAUUCAUUUUUUGGGUAACCAGCUAUCACCAAGCUCGUUAGGCUUUUCACCUCUACCUAAAAAUCUUCUCACUAUUUUGCCACAUAGACGAGUUGAUUCAUAAAAUUGUUUUUAGGUAGCUCGUUUGGUUUCGGGGUUUCUAGCUGUAAUUCUUUUAGUUAGAAGUUUUCUAGUUAGUUCAUUAUGCAAAAGGUACAAGGUUUAAUCUUUGCUUGUUCUUACUUUUAAUUAGUCUUUCAUCUUUCCCUUGCGGUACUAGUUCUAUAGCUCCUAGAUGUACGAAUUUCUUUCUCCAAUACUUUUAGUAGGAUAAAUGUUUUGAUUUAUAUAAUAGUAUAAUUAUAUUUGUGUAGGGCUAGGGCUAGGAUUAGU